Molecule: ribosomal RNA, 386 nt
Filed under: uncultured prokaryote
Description: bacterial SSU rRNA
Rfam family: Archaeal small subunit ribosomal RNA
Source: RNAcentral
GCGCGAAAACUUUACAAUGCUGGCAACAGCGAUAAGGGAACCUCGAGUGCCAGGUUACAAAUCUGGCUGUCGAGAUGCCUAAAAAGCAUUUCAUAGCAAGGGCCGGGCAAGACCGGUGCCAGCCGCCGCGGUAACACCGGCGGCUCGAGUGGUAACCGUUAUUAUUGGGUCUAAAGGGUCUGUAGCCGGCCGGAUAAGUCUCUUGAGAAAUCUGGCAGCUUAACUGUCAGGCUUUCAGGAGAUACUGUCUGGCUCGAGGCCGGGAGAGGUGAGAGGUACUUCAGGGGUAGGGGUGAAAUCUUGUAAUCCUUGAAGGACCACCAGUGGCGAAUGCGUCUGACCAGAACGGACCUGACGGCGAGGGACGAAAGGUAGGUGCACGAACC